This is a long non-coding RNA of Orcinus orca (killer whale), 649 nucleotides long. RefSeq lists it as uncharacterized. The transcript has 2 exons. The record is from RefSeq and is a predicted model, not a curated record. Lineage: Eukaryota; Metazoa; Chordata; Mammalia; Artiodactyla; Delphinidae.
GGUCCAGUGUUGCACAAGCUGGAGAAAUGCACAGAGAAACCCCGAGGGGGUCUUGGUGAUGCUGGACCUGGUGUUUGAGCAGUAUCUCCCCAGCCUCUGUUGGGAAGCAUGACUGGACCUUCUCUGGGAAGUUAUGCAAUCAGUCAGCAAGAGGCAGAAGCCCUCUCCGGGGAGGGAAAGCAGGCCUGCUGCCCAUUUAUGGCCCACAAUGAGCCUACAUAACUACCACAGGCUAGGUGGUGAUACCUUGUCCAUCACGGGAGCAUCCGUGGUGGUCUACUACUAUGAGGUAUUGAGCUGUCACACAAUGACGACUGUCAUGAAACCACAUCAAAACCCUCCUUCGUUCCUGCAGAAUGUGUUUUCAAACACCCGGUUUAAUCCAUUCAAUGAGAUAAUUCAGCCACCAAAGUGAGAGUAUAAGCAACAUUAUAUGUACAAGAAUAUAUUAAGGGCUUCCCUGGUGGCGCAGUGGUUGAGAGUCCGCCUGCCGAUGCAGGGGAUGCGGGUUCGUGCCCGGGUCCAGGAAGAACCCACAUGCCGCGGAGCGGCUGGGCCCGUGAGCCAUGGCUGCUGAGCCUGCGCAUCCGGAGCCUGUGCUCCGCAACGGGAGAGGCCACAGCACUGAGAGGCCCGCAUACCGCAAAAA